GACGAACGCUGGCGGCGUGCCUAACACAUGCAAGUCGAACGGAGAUACGAUUUCGGUUGUAUCUUAGUGGCGAACGGGUGAGUAACGCGUGAGCAACCUGACUCUUAGAGGGGGAUAACACUCGGAAACGAGUGCUAAUACCGCAUAAGACCACGACAUGGCAUCAUGACGAGGUCAAAGGAGCAAUCCGCUGAGAGAGGGGCUCGCGUCCCAUUAGAUAGAUGGCGGGGUAACGGCCCACCAUGUCCGCGAUGGGUAGCCGAGCUGAGAGGCUGAUCGGCCACACUGGAACUGAGACACGGUCCAGACUCCUACGGGGGGCAGCAGUGGGGAAUAUUGGGCAAUGGGCGCAAGCCUGACCCAGCAACGCCGCGUGAGGGAAGAAGGCUUUCGGGUUGUAAACCUCUGUCCUUGGUGACGAAACAAAUGACGGUAGCCAAGAAGGAAGCCCCGGCUAACUACGUGCCAGCCGCCGCGGUAA
RNAcentral lists this ribosomal RNA (481 nucleotides) under uncultured bacterium. RNAcentral describes it as "partial 16S ribosomal RNA". It matches the Rfam family "Bacterial small subunit ribosomal RNA", at positions 28 to 523 of the family's 1533-position model. The record is from RNAcentral.